AUUCAAAUAACCCUGAAACAAAUGCUUAGGGAUUUUAUUGGUAUCAGGGUUAAUCGUGCCAAGAAAAGCGGCAUGGUCAAUAUAACCAGUAGUGUUAACAGUCGGGAGAGGAGUGGCAUUAACACCAUCCUUCAUGAACUUAAUCCACUGUUCACCAUAAACGUGACGAUGAGGAGAUCGGAAGAGCGGUUCAGCAGGAAUGCC
This 204-nucleotide ribosomal RNA is filed under the name uncultured prokaryote. RNAcentral's name for it is "partial 16S ribosomal RNA". The record is from RNAcentral.